GGAAAAACAAGUGCAACUUCAUGGUCCUUUUCUUCAUAUUCUGGAAUACAAGAAUACGUGUAAAUGUUUGCAAAUUCAGGUACAUUUUCAACUGGAACGUAACAUGUAGAGCAGUAGAACAUUCUGGAACCACCACAUUUGAGACAUUUUGAUCUCCCACUUUGCUGAGCUUUUUGAAGAACUUCUUGAGAUGCUAAACAUGAGUUUUGAAGGGGAUCUUCUGAAGCUAUGGAAGUAGUUUGUGACUGUUUUGUUUCCACAAAGUUUGAAUUAUUUUCUUCACUUCGUUUGAGAAAUAUAGGUGGAUUGAGAGACAUUCUUCAUUCAAACAAAAGUUUAACAGCUAUUUCUAAAACACAUAUCAUAUGUGCACUG
Molecule: long non-coding RNA, 375 nt
Organism: Gorilla gorilla gorilla (western lowland gorilla)
Lineage: Eukaryota; Metazoa; Chordata; Mammalia; Primates; Hominidae
Exons: 2
Source: RefSeq, a predicted model, not a curated record